This 987-nucleotide ribosomal RNA is filed under the name Triticum aestivum (bread wheat). RNAcentral describes it as "partial small subunit ribosomal RNA". The record is from RNAcentral. Lineage: Eukaryota; Viridiplantae; Streptophyta; Magnoliopsida; Poales; Poaceae.
AUGGCGGAGGGGCCCUCACCGCCGCUCUGCCGAUGCAGGAUGACACACAUGUCCAGGACACCCGUGUGGAUCUCCGCCGCAACGGAGGAAGGCCUCACCGCCGCCAUCAUCCCCUGCCCGAGCUUUGUCCUGUGGAGCUCCGGCGGCGGCGAGGAGAGGGGCGGCGGUGACUCGAAGCCUAGAUUAGAUCAGGAAGGAGGAGAUCGGGAGGGAGCAUUUGGGGAUGUGCCGGACCCCUAUCCCGUGUGCCCAGCUGACACGGUGUUCCCCGCGCUCCUGAGCUGCCCUGUGGCGCCUUCGCUGCAGGCCCAGCUUCCCGACAAAGAUGCACAGGUGGACACGAGCCCAAUGUACGUCAAGGGGGAUCCAUUUGCCAAGACGAUCUACCAGGAUAGUGAAGUCGGGCCCAGGAAGCGGAACCGUGAUGAGGAGGAUAUUAUACCUGUGGCAGAGCUCAACGAGGUCAUCAAGAACGUGGCGGAAACUGUUUUUGACGAGCAGCAUAGGAGUUUUGAGUACAUGGACAGGGACUGGCUUACAAAGGGUGAGUAUGAAACGUUGGAGUUCAGAAAGAAAGCUCACCCACCUCAGUUCUACGAAGUCAAGAUCCUCCACACUAAAUAUGGCAUCACAGAGUGCCAGGCACUCAGUUCCGCUAUUCCUGAUUUAGUCGACAGGUUCCAUGUGACGGUGAGCCAUGAUCCUCAGGUAAGUUCAAUGCUCAGUUGGCUGUCUAGUGACUUUUCCUGGAAGGAGUCUUCUUCGGAGGAACUUCACUAUGUACUAGCUAACCUGGAGGGAGGAGUGGGGCUCAAGGCCACAGAUUAUUUAGGAGAUUGCAGGUCGUGCUUGUUUGAUGCCAAUGCUGGAGCUAUGCUGGGGGACGGUUCCUUCAAGCUCUUCGCAUGGUUCAACCACCAGCGCAGCUACGGCCAGCGCUGCACUGACAUGAUUCUACACAUGGCAAAGAAGUCUAGAGUUGAUUGA